This 704-nucleotide long non-coding RNA is filed under the name Homo sapiens (human). RNAcentral describes it as "HSALNT0361787". Lineage: Eukaryota; Metazoa; Chordata; Mammalia; Primates; Hominidae. The record is from RNAcentral.
CUUACCCUUGGGAAGUGAGCACGCGCAGUGCGUUUAGGAAGUUGUACGCAUACCCAACUGAAGCUUUCUUCCCUUCUCCAGUGGAGUGCACCUGCACAGAAACUCUCUCUGUACCACGUACCUGCUGCCAGAAGCUGGGAAGGAGUGGUGCUGGUGAUUCAAAACUGAUUUUCCUGCCUCUUCGAUGCCUCUUUUAGUGACAUACAGUUAAGACCAGGCACUUAAAUCCACUUCUGAGGAGAAGAAUGAAAGCCAAGGCAGAUAUGAAAGAGCCAUGGACUGCUGACCUUUGAACCCUGAGAGGAGUGCAGAGCUCACUCAUAUUCUAAUGAAGUAUUUUUCUACCCUUAUUAUGAUUCUGACUCACUAUACUUCUUAUCAAAAUUACAUGAUGAGGAAUUGUAUGUUUGAAUAGCAGUCAAAUGAGAAGAGACUUUAUCAUUUAGCAAAUCUAUCUGCCCAAUUUCGUAGCUUGAGACAAUGCAAAAAUGUCAACCCAUGAUCUCUAUCCCAUUUUCUUUUGAUUAUCUCUACAGCUUGUAAAAAUCUCUGUACUUUUUUUCCAGUUUAAUUCUAUCUAGGUUAUAUUAUACAUUGAUUUAGUUGAAUAAAAUCUAUUACAUAAUAAUGCUUGGUGAUUAUUACUUUUAUAAACCCAAUUUUAGUCAGUUCAGUGUCAUCCCAAAGGCACUGUUACAUGAAAU